GAUUGACCUCGGAUCAGGUAGGGAUACCCGCUGAACUUAAGCAUAUCAAUAAGCGGAGGAAAAGAAACCAACCGGGAUUGCCUCAGUAACGGCGAGUGAAGCGGCAAGAGCUCAAAUUUGAAAGCUGGCCCCUCCGGGGUCCGCGUUGUAAUUUGCAGAGGAUGCUUUGGGUGCGGCCCCCGUCUAAGUGCCCUGGAACGGGCCGUCAGAGAGGGUGAGAAUCCCGUCUUGGGCGGGGUGUCCGUGCCCGUGUAAAGCUCCUUCGACGAGUCGAGUUGUUUGGGAAUGCAGCUCUAAAUGGGUGGUAAAUUUCAUCUAAAGCUAAAUACUGGCCGGAGACCGAUAGCGACAAGUAGAGUGAUCGAAAGAUGAAAAGCACUUUGAAAAGAGAGUUAAACAGCACGUGAAAUUGUUGAAAGGGAAGCGCUUGCGACCAGACUCGCCCUCGGGGUUCAGCCGGCACUCGUGCCGGUGUACUUCCCCGGGGGCGGGCCAGCGUCAGCUUGGGCGGCCGGUCAAAGGCCUCCGGAAUGUAGUGCCCCCCGGGGCACCUUAUAGCCGGAGGUGCAAUGCGGCCAGCCUGGGCUGAGGAACGCGCUUCGGCACGGACGCUGGCAUAAUGGUCGCAAACGACC
RNAcentral lists this ribosomal RNA (635 nucleotides) under Aspergillus japonicus. RNAcentral describes it as "eukaryotic LSU rRNA". It matches the Rfam family "Eukaryotic large subunit ribosomal RNA", at positions 1 to 649 of the family's 3401-position model. The record is from RNAcentral. Lineage: Eukaryota; Fungi; Ascomycota; Eurotiomycetes; Eurotiales; Aspergillaceae.